UACGAAGGGGGCUAGCGUUGUUCGGAAUUACUGGGCGUAAAGGGCGCGUAGGCGGUACUUCAAGUCAGGCGUGAAAGCCCCGGGCUCAACCUGGGAACCGCGCUUGAGACUGGAGAACUAGAGUUCGGGAGAGGAUGGUGGAAUUCCCAGUGUAGAGGUGAAAUUCGUAGAUAUUGGGAAGAACACCGAUGGCGAAGGCAGCCAUCUGGACCGACACUGACGCUGAGGCGCGAAAGCGUGGGGAGCAAACCGG
RNAcentral lists this ribosomal RNA (253 nucleotides) under uncultured bacterium. RNAcentral's name for it is "partial 16S ribosomal RNA". It matches the Rfam family "Bacterial small subunit ribosomal RNA", at positions 524 to 776 of the family's 1533-position model. The record is from RNAcentral.